GCCUGGGUGGCUCAGUGGUUGAGUGUCUGACUUCAGCUCAGGUGGUGAUCCCAAGGUCCUGGGAUGGAGUCCUACCUCAGGCU
Molecule: non-coding RNA, 83 nt
Organism: Canis lupus familiaris (dog)
Lineage: Eukaryota; Metazoa; Chordata; Mammalia; Carnivora; Canidae
Source: Rfam